Molecule: ribosomal RNA, 251 nt
Filed under: uncultured prokaryote
Description: partial 16S rRNA
Rfam family: Bacterial small subunit ribosomal RNA
Source: RNAcentral
ACGGAGGGUGCGAGUGUUAUUCGGAAUCACUGGGCGUAAAGCGAACGUAGGCGGAUAGGCAAGUCAGAUGUGAAAUCCCGGGGCUCAACCUCGGAACUGCAUUUGAUACUGCUUGUCUUGAGUAUGGUAGAGGUGGGUGGAAUUCCCGGUGUAGAGGUGAAAUUCGUAGAUAUCGGGAGGAAUACCUGAGGCGAAGGCGACCCACUGGGCCAUUACUGACGCUGAGGUUCGAAAGCGUGGGUAGCAAACAG